GAUCUAUUACCUGUGCCUGGAGAGGAGGGGACUCCUCUUCUCACCCGCUGGUCUCUGGACACAUACUGUCCAAUUCCCCUGKGGCAGCUGUAAUGUGUAGUUCAAUGGGCACUCAUUUGUCCCCUUUUAAGGGUACCCUCCUUUAGAAUCCAGGACCUUCUACCCUGCAGAGUGUGGUUUUGGGAGAGAAGUGCAAAAUCCCACGACAGGUGAGU
RNAcentral lists this long non-coding RNA (215 nucleotides) under Homo sapiens (human). RNAcentral's name for it is "partial HLA complex P5". Lineage: Eukaryota; Metazoa; Chordata; Mammalia; Primates; Hominidae. The record is from RNAcentral.